AUUGAACGCUGGCGGCAUGCCUCACACAUGCAAGUCGAACGGCAGCACGGGUGCUUGCACCUGGUGGCGAGUGGCGAACGGGUGAGUAAUACAUCGGAACGUACCUUAUCGUGGGGGAUAACGCAGCGAAAGCUGUGCUAAUACCGCAUACGCCCUGAGGGGGAAAGCGGGGGAUCGCAAGACCUCGCGCGAUUAGAGCGGCCGAUGCCUGAUUAGCUUGUUGGUGGGGUAAAAGCCCACCAAGGCGACGAUCCGUAGCUGGUCUGAGAGGAAGAUCAGCCACACUGGGACUGAGACACGGCCCAGACUCCUACGGGAGGCAGCAGUGGGGAAUUUUGGACAAUGGGGGCAACCCUGAUCCAGCAAUGCCGCGUGAGUGAAGAAGGCCUUCGGGUUGUAAAGCUCUUUUGUCAGGGAAGAAACACCGGCUCUAACACAGUCCGGGAAUGACGGUACCUGAAGAAAAAGCACCGGCUAACUACGUGCCAGCCGCCGCCGUAA
Molecule: ribosomal RNA, 501 nt
Filed under: uncultured bacterium
Lineage: Bacteria
Description: partial 16S ribosomal RNA
Rfam family: Bacterial small subunit ribosomal RNA
Source: RNAcentral